GACGGGGGUGCCAAGCGUUAGGCGGAAUCACUGGGCUUAAAGCGUGUGUAGGCGGACUUGUAAGUACCUUGUGAAAUCCCACGGCUCACCCGUGGAACUGCUGGGUAUACUGCGAGUCUUGAGCCACUUAGGGGCUGUCGGAACAGGCGGUGGAGCGGUGAAAUGCGUAGAUAUCGCCUGGAACGCCAAAGGUGAAAACAGACAGCUGGGAGUGUGCUGACGCUGAGACACGAAAGCCAGGGGAGCGAACGGG
This 253-nucleotide ribosomal RNA is filed under the name uncultured bacterium. Its description in RNAcentral is "partial 16S ribosomal RNA". It matches the Rfam family "Bacterial small subunit ribosomal RNA", at positions 524 to 776 of the family's 1533-position model. The record is from RNAcentral.